AGCCCGGAGAUGGAUUCUGAGACACGAAUCCAGACCCUACGGGGUGCAGCAGGCGCGAAAACUUCACACUGCAGGAAACUGUGAUGAGGGAACUCCAAGUGCUAUCACUAUGUGGUAGCUUUUCUUGACUAUUAAUCGGUCAUGGAAUAAGGGCUGGGAAAGACCGGUGCCAGCCGCCGCGGUAAUACCGGCAGCUCAAGUGGUCGUCGCUUUUAUUGGGCCUAAAACGUCCGUAGCCUGUUUGGUAAAUCUGUGGGUAAAUCAACCAGCUUAACUGGUUGAAUUCUGCAGAGACUGCCAGACUAGGGACCGGGAGAGGUGUGGGGUACUCUAGGGGUAGGGGUAAAAUCCUGUCAUCCUUAGAGGACCACCAGUUGCGAAGGCGCCACACUGGAACGGAUCCGACGGUCAGGGACGAAGCCUAGGGGCACGAACCGGAUUAGAUACCCGGGUAGUCCUAGGUGUAAACGCUGUGAACUUGGUGUCGGGGAUCCGUAAUGGGUCCUCGGUGCCGGAGUGAAGAUGUUAAGUUCACUGCCUGGGGAGUACGGUCGCAAGGCUGA
RNAcentral lists this ribosomal RNA (563 nucleotides) under uncultured archaeon. Its description in RNAcentral is "bacterial SSU rRNA". It matches the Rfam family "Archaeal small subunit ribosomal RNA", at positions 287 to 852 of the family's 1478-position model. The record is from RNAcentral.